RNAcentral lists this ribosomal RNA (795 nucleotides) under uncultured bacterium. Its description in RNAcentral is "bacterial SSU rRNA". It matches the Rfam family "Bacterial small subunit ribosomal RNA", at positions 8 to 796 of the family's 1533-position model. The record is from RNAcentral.
AGAGUUUGAUCCUGGCUCAGGAUGAACGCUAGCGGCAGGCUUAAUACAUGCAAGUCGAGGGGCAGCAGGGUGUAGCAAUACAUCGCUGGCGACCGGCAAACGGGUGCGGAACACGUACGCAACCUUCCUUUAAGUGGAGAAUAGCCCAGGGAAACUUGGAUUAAUACUUCGUAACAUUAUGAGAUGGCAUCAUUUUAUAAUUAUAGUUCCGACGCUUAAAGAUGGGCGUGCGCCUGAUUAGGUAGUUGGCGGGGUAACGGCCCACCAAGCCUACGAUCAGUAACUGGUGUGAGAGCACGACCAGUCACACGGGCACUGAGACACGGGCCCGACUCCUACGGGAGGCAGCAGUAAGGAAUAUUGGUCAAUGGACGCAAGUCUGAACCAGCCAUGCCGCGUGGAGGAUGAAGGUCCUCUGGAUUGUAAACUUCUUUUAUUUGGGAAGAAACCCACGUUUUCUAAUGUGGUUGACGGUACCAGAUGAAUAAGCACCGGCUAACUCCGUGCCAGCAGCCGCGGUAAUACGGAGGGUGCAAGCGUUAUCCGGAUUCACUGGGUUUAAAGGGUGCGUAGGCGGGUUGGUAAGUCCGUGGUGAAAUCUCCGAGCUUAACUCGGAAACUGCCGUGGAUACUAUCAAUCUUGAAUAUCGUGGAGGUAAGCGGAAUAUGUCAUGUAGCGGUGAAAUGCUUAGAUAUGACAUAGAACACCAAUUGCGUAGGCAGCUUACUACACGAUCAUUGACGCUGAGGCACGAAAGCGUGGGGAUCAAACAGGAUUAGAUACCCUAGUAGUCC